GGGGUUGUAGCUCAGUGGUAGAGCACUUGCCUAGCAUGUAUAAAGCCCUGGAUUUGAUCCCCAGCACCA
RNAcentral lists this transfer RNA (69 nucleotides) under Ictidomys tridecemlineatus (thirteen-lined ground squirrel). RNAcentral describes it as "Spermophilus tridecemlineatus (thirteen-lined ground squirrel) tRNA". It matches the Rfam family "tRNA". Rfam says of the family: Transfer RNA (tRNA) molecules are approximately 80 nucleotides in length. Their secondary structure includes four short double-helical elements and three loops (D, anti-codon, and T loops). Lineage: Eukaryota; Metazoa; Chordata; Mammalia; Rodentia; Sciuridae. The record is from Rfam by way of RNAcentral.